AACGAACGCUGGCGGCAGGCCUAACACAUGCAAGUCGAGCGCGCCCUUCGGGGUGAGCGGCGGACGGGUGAGUAACGCGUGGGAACGUGCCCUUUUCUACGGAAUAGCCUCGGGAAACUGAGAGUAAUACCGGAUAUGCCCUCUGGGGGAAAGAGUUGUCGGAAAAGGAUCGGCCGGCGUUGGCUUAGGUGGUUGGUGGGGUAAGGGCCUACCAGGCCGACGAUCGAUAGCUGGUUAGAGAGGAUGAUCCGCCACACUGGGACUGAGACACGGCCCAGACUCCUACGGGAGGCAGCAGUGGGGAAUCUUGGACAAUGGGGGCAACCCUGAUCGAGCCAUGCCGGGUGAGUGAUGAAGGCCUUAGGGUUGUAAAGCUCUUUCAGCUGGGAAGAUAAUGACGGUACCAGCAGAAGAAGCCCCGGCUAACUCCGUG
This 433-nucleotide ribosomal RNA is filed under the name uncultured bacterium. RNAcentral describes it as "partial 16S ribosomal RNA". It matches the Rfam family "Bacterial small subunit ribosomal RNA", at positions 29 to 507 of the family's 1533-position model. The record is from RNAcentral.